UACGGAGGGGGCAAGCGUUAUUCGGAAUUAUUGGGCGUAAAGGGCGCGUAGGCGGCUCGAUAAGUCAAAGGUGAAAUCCCUCGGCUCAACUGAGGAACUGCCUUUGAAACUGUAGAGCUUGAGUCCGGGAGGGGGUAGCGGAAUUCCCAGUGUAGCGGUGAAAUGCGUAGAUAUUGGGAGGAACACCAGUGGCGAAGGCGGCUACCUGGACCGGAACUGACGCUGAGGCGCGAAAGCGUGGGGAGCAAACAGG
Molecule: ribosomal RNA, 253 nt
Filed under: uncultured bacterium
Lineage: Bacteria
Description: partial 16S ribosomal RNA
Rfam family: Bacterial small subunit ribosomal RNA
Source: RNAcentral